UGGGGAAUAUUGCACAAUGGAGGGAACUCUGAUGCAGCGACGCCGCGUGAGUGAUGAAGGAAUUCGUUUCGUAAAACUCUGCUCUAGGGGAAGAAAAGGACUGUACCAUAGGAGAAAGCACCGGCUACAUACGUGCCAGCAGCCGCGGUAAUACGUAUGGAGCGAGCGUUGUCCGGAAUUAUUGGGCGUAAAGGGUGCGCAGGCGGCAUUACAAGUUGGAUGUGAAAUAUUGUGGCUCAACCACAAACGUGCAUCCAAAACUGCAAAGCUUGAGUUAAGGAGAGGUAAGUGGAAUUCCUGGUGUGGCGGUGGAAUGCGUAGAUAUCAGGAGGAAUACCGGUGGCGAAGGCGACUUACUGGACUUAAACUGACGCUCAGGCACGAAAGCGUGGGGAGCAAACAGG
RNAcentral lists this ribosomal RNA (404 nucleotides) under Fusobacteriota bacterium. Its description in RNAcentral is "Fusobacteria bacterium partial 16S ribosomal RNA". It matches the Rfam family "Bacterial small subunit ribosomal RNA", at positions 355 to 776 of the family's 1533-position model. The record is from RNAcentral. Lineage: Bacteria; Fusobacteriati; Fusobacteriota.